This is a long non-coding RNA of Drosophila nasuta, 341 nucleotides long. RefSeq lists it as uncharacterized. The record is from RefSeq and is a predicted model, not a curated record. Lineage: Eukaryota; Metazoa; Arthropoda; Insecta; Diptera; Drosophilidae. The transcript has 3 exons.
UUAAAUGAACCUUUUUGUAUAUGUUUUCAUUGCGUAAAUUUGUGGAGUAUUUAAAAAUAGAAUUGCAGCAAAAAAAAUACAAAAGAUGCCUACACAAAGCAGCUAAAAUACCCAUUGUAAUUAAGGGAAAAUGCAAAAAUAAAUGAAAAUCACAAAGUCAAUGCGCAAAUAUGUGUGAAAAGGUGGAAAAUGGAGAUCCAAGCAAAACCGCAAACAAAGACGAAAUUAGAGCGAAGUGGGAACAACCACAUUCAGCUAGCGAGGCGGUGGCGCCUCCAUUUGUUGUACGCUUGAGUUGAACGAUUUGAUUUGGCCGCUGCUGAAUGCGUAAAACUUUUCGC